GAAGUAAAAGUCGUAACAAGGUUUCCGUAGGUGAACCUGCGGAAGGAUCUUACUGAAUUUUGAAAGGGGUUGUAGCUGGCCUCUUUAUCGGAGGCAUGGCACACCCUGUUCAUCCAUUCUACACCUGUGCACACCCUGUAGGUUGGUUUGAAUGGGUCUUCUUAUGAGGACUUGUUGAGACCUUCCUAUGUUUUUAACACACACUUUGUCAGUUAAAGAAUGUAAUCGCGUUUAACGCAUUUUAUCAACUUUCAGCAACGGAUCUCUUGGCUCUCGCAUCGAUGAAGAACGCAGGAAAUGCGAUAAGUAAUGUGAAUUGCAGAAUUCAGUGAAUCAUCGAAUCUUGAACGCACCUUGCGCUCCUUGGUAUUCCGAGGAGCAUGCCUGUUUGAUGUCAUGGAAUUCUCAACCCUCUCAUCUUUGUUGUGAGUUGGGCUUGGAUUGGAGGCUUUGCUGGUUUUUGUAAAUCAGCUCCUCUUGAAUGCAUUAGUUAAACCUCUGCGGAACGGCUGUUCGGUGUGAUAAUUGUCUACGCCGUGGUCGUGAAGCUUUGUUACACUUUGUUGUGUAAGGGGGUGUAGCUUCCAACGUCUCUUUAUUGGGACAAUAUUUGACCUCUGACCUCAAAUCAGGUAGGUUACCCGCUGAACUUAAGCA
Molecule: ribosomal RNA, 657 nt
Filed under: Lentoporia carbonica
Lineage: Eukaryota; Fungi; Basidiomycota; Agaricomycetes; Polyporales; Adustoporiaceae
Description: eukaryotic LSU rRNA
Rfam family: 5.8S ribosomal RNA (bases 247-397)
Source: RNAcentral